UACGGGGGGGGCAAGCGUUGUUCGGAAUUACUGGGCGUAAAGGGCUCGUAGGCGGCCAACUAAGUCAUACGUGAAAUCCCUCGGCUUAACCGGGGAACUGCGUCUGAUACUGGAUGGCUUGAGUUCGGGAGAGGGAUGCGGAAUUCCAGGUGUAGCGGUGAAAUGCGUAGAUAUCAGGAGGAACACCUGUGGUGUAGACGGCUCUCUGGACCGCAACUGACGCUGAGACACGAAAGCGUGGGUAGCAAACAGG
Molecule: ribosomal RNA, 253 nt
Filed under: uncultured bacterium
Lineage: Bacteria
Description: partial 16S ribosomal RNA
Rfam family: Bacterial small subunit ribosomal RNA
Source: RNAcentral